UAGGGAAUCUUCCGCAAUGGACGAAAGUCUGACGGAGCAACGCCGCGUGAGUGAUGAAGGCCUUCGGGUCGUAAAGCUCUGUUGUUAGGGAAGAACAAGUACCGUUCGAAUAGGGCGGUACCUUGACGGUACCUAACGAGAAAGCCACGGCUAACUACGUGCCAGCAGCCGCGGUAAUACGUAGGUGGCAAGCGUUAUCCGGAAUUAUUGGGCGUAAAGCGCGCGCAGGCGGUUUCUUAAGUCUGAUGUGAAAGCCCACGGCUCAACCGUGGAGGGUCAUUGGAAACUGGGAAACUUGAGUACAGAAGAGGAAAGUGGAAUUCCACGUGUAGCGGUGAAAUGCGUAGAUAUGUGGAGGAACACCAGUGGCGAAGGCGACUUUCUGGUCUGUAACUGACGCUGAGGCGCGAAAGCGUGGGGAGCAAACAGGAUUAGAUACCCUGGUAGUCCACGCCGUAAACGAUGAGUGCUAAGUGUUAGAGGGUUUCCGCCUUUAGUGCUGUAGCUAACGCUAA
Molecule: ribosomal RNA, 515 nt
Filed under: uncultured Bacillota bacterium
Lineage: Bacteria; Bacillati; Bacillota
Description: bacterial SSU rRNA
Rfam family: Bacterial small subunit ribosomal RNA
Source: RNAcentral